UUCCGGUUGAUCCUGCCGGAGGCCAUUGCUAUCGGAGUCCGAUUUAGCCAUGCUAGUCGCACGAGUUCAUACUCGUGGCAAAUAGCUCAGUAACACGUGGCCAAACUGCCCUACGGACCAGGAUAACCUCGGGAAACUGAGGCUAAUCCUGGAUACGGCUCUCAUCCUGGAGUGGAGAGAGCUGGAAACGCUCCGGCGCCGUAGGAUGUGGCUGCGGCCGAUUAGGUAGAUGGUGGGGUAACGGCCCACCAUGCCCAUAAUCGGUACGGGUCAUGAGAGUGAGAGCCCGGAGACGGUAUCUGAGACAAGAUACCGGGCCCUACGGGGCGCAGCAGGCGCGAAACCUUUACACUGCACGUCAGUGCGAUAGGGGGACUCCGAGUGCGAGGGCAUACAGUCCUCGCUUUUCUGUACCGUAAGGUGGUACAGGAACAAGUGCUGGGCAAGACCGGUGCCAGCCGCCGCGGUAAUACCGGCAGCACGAGUGAUGGCCGAUCUUAUUGGGCCUAAAGCGUCCGUAGCCGGCCGGACAAGUCCGUUGGGAAAUCCACGUGCCCAACACGUGGGCGUCCAGCGGAAACUGUCCGGCUUGGGGCCGGAAGACUCGAGGGGUACGUCCGGGGUACGAGUGAAAUCCCGUAAUCCUGGACGGACCACCGGUGGCGAAAGCGCCUCGAGAAGACGGACCCGACGGUGAGGGACGAAAGCCAGGGUCUCGAACCGGAUUAGAUACCCGGGUAGUCCUGGCCGUAAACGAUGUCCGCUAGGUGUGGCGCAGGCUACGAGCCUGCGCUGUGCCGUAGGGAAGCCGCGAAGCGGACCGCCUGGGAAGUACGUCUGCAAGGAUGAAACUUAAAGGAAUUGGCGGGGGAGCACUACAACCGGAGGAGCCUGCGGUUUAAUUGGACUCAACGCCGGA
This 919-nucleotide ribosomal RNA is filed under the name uncultured archaeon. RNAcentral describes it as "bacterial SSU rRNA". It matches the Rfam family "Archaeal small subunit ribosomal RNA", at positions 1 to 922 of the family's 1478-position model. The record is from RNAcentral.